CAUCACUACUCUAAAUCUACUUAAGGACACAUUAUGGGUUGUGCAAAGUUAGGGCAUGAAGUGUACUUGGUGGGAGUGUCCGUACAUCUGAGGGAACGUGAAGUGGAAGGAAGAUGGACGAGUGAAGACACUGAUAUAUGGAGAAGGUUUGAGAACGGAUCAGACCGUUUAGAGAUAAGGUUGAGACGCGCCUUAUCUAUCCAGGCUUGGACAGGCUGUAAAGCCGGAAGCAUGUGAACAUCUUGGUCCGUCCAUUUCAAAAGAAUCCUUAUUCUUUACGUGAAAACCCUAGUGCUUCUCCUAUAUAAGUUGUAAACCCAUCUCUUAAUAAGAUUAGACAGUUCUAUCCAAUUAAUCACUCUACUCUUUCAUAAUGAUUCCUCACUAGUCAUCUAAUCACAUAAUCAUCUCCUUAUUCAUCCUAAAUCAUUCUACUCUUUCGCAUACAAACUCAGAUUAUCUAAAACUCUUAUGCUCCACAGCCUGGGCAUUGUAGUACACUCUCGUGUUUACCCAGUUGGAAGGAUCCCUCUUUACCCUUGUGCUCCUCCUCAAAGCUUGAACCUGAUCUUCAGUUUGCACACUAGCCGGCUCCACUUGCUCUUCUUCUGAACUGGCUGGUCCG
RNAcentral lists this long non-coding RNA (625 nucleotides) under Brassica napus (rape). RNAcentral describes it as "long non-coding RNA (BNAP_LNC007882)". Lineage: Eukaryota; Viridiplantae; Streptophyta; Magnoliopsida; Brassicales; Brassicaceae. The record is from RNAcentral.